Molecule: small RNA, 535 nt
Filed under: Pongo abelii (Sumatran orangutan)
Lineage: Eukaryota; Metazoa; Chordata; Mammalia; Primates; Hominidae
Description: processed transcript
Source: RNAcentral
AGUCAGCUUGCUCCAGCAGUUAUUUCUCUUCAGACCUCCAUCUCUCCCUUGGGUUUCCUCCCUUGUAGUAAAUGAUCUUGCCUUCUGUUUCACAGAGAAAAGAGAAAGCAUCAGGACCGUGUGUAUGUACAACAAAAUAAUGUGGAGAAUGUCUACAAUUUGGGAUUAAUUAUUUUUCGAGAUCAAGUUGUACGUUAUGGGUGUAUUAGGGAUCAUCUACGGCAAACUCUAUUGGAUAUGAUUGCAAGAGAGCGGAAAGGAGAAGUUGUAGACAGAGGCGCAAUAAGAAAUGCUUGCCAGAUGUUAAUGAUUUUAGGUCUCGAAGGAAGAUCAGUCUAUGAAGAAGAUUUUGAGGCUCCUUUUUUGGAAAUGUCUGCAGAAUUUUUUCAGAUGGAAAGCCAGAAAUUUUUAGCAGAAAAUAGUGCUUCAGUAUAUAUAAAGAAAGUAGAAGCUAGAAUUAAUGAAGAAAUAGAACGAGUGAUGCACUGCCUUGACAAAUCAACGGAAGAACCAAUUGUAAAGGUGGUUGAAAGGG